Molecule: unclassified non-coding RNA, 400 nt
Filed under: uncultured fungus
Lineage: Eukaryota; Fungi
Description: sequence contains ITS1
Rfam family: 5.8S ribosomal RNA (bases 1-105)
Source: RNAcentral
GAAAUGCGAUACGUAGUGUGAAUUGCAGAAUUCCGUGAAUCAUCGAAUCUUUGAACGCAUAUUGCACUCGAGGCCUCGGCCAAGAGUAUGCCUGUCUCAGCGUCAGCUCACCCCUCGCCCCACCCCGACCCGCUUCGGCGGACCGGGCCCUGGGACGGAUGUGGCCGUCUCGGCACUUGAAACACAGUGCCGGGUCGGCUGAAGCACAGGGCUCGCUGCCGGUCACCCCCUCUCUCAGCACGGGGCGCCAGCUUGGUAGGUGGCUUUGUAAGCUGCAUGCCGCUGUCGCACCGAUCGUCUGGGCAGUGAAAGAGGCCGGUCCAGCGCGGCCAAGCAGGAAACCUGCGGGGCACCGGCUCGAAAGAGCCCGCCCCGCACACACCCUUUUGACCUGAGAUCA